Molecule: ribosomal RNA, 419 nt
Filed under: uncultured bacterium
Lineage: Bacteria
Description: bacterial SSU rRNA
Rfam family: Bacterial small subunit ribosomal RNA
Source: RNAcentral
UUUUGGACAAUGGGCGCAAGCCUGAUCCAGCCAUGCCGCGUGCGGGAAGAAGGCCUUCGGGUUGUAAACCGCUUUUGUCAGGGAAGAAAUCUUCUGGGUUAAUACCCGGGGGUCCUGACGGUACCGGAAGAAUAAGCACCGGCUAACUUCGUGCCAGCAGCCGCGGUAAUACGUAGGUGGCAAGCGUUGUCCGGAUUUACUGGGCGUAAAGAGCGCGCAGGCGGUCAGAUAAGUCGAAUGUGAAAGCCCCCGGCUCAACUGGGGAGGGUCAUUCGAUACUGUUCGACUCGAAGGCAGGAGAGGGAAGCGGAAUUCCCGGUGUAGUGGUGAAAUGCGUAGAUAUCGGGAGGAACACCAGUGGCGAAGGCGGCUUCCUGGCCUGUUCUUGACGCUGAGGCGCGAAAGCUAGGGGAGCAAAC